CCUACGGGAGGCUGCAGUGGGGAAUCUUGGGCAAUGGAGGCAACUCUGACCCAGCAACGCCGCGUGAAUGAUGAAGGUCUUCGGAUCGUAAAGCUCUGUGAUGGGGGAUGAACACAAUGACGGUACCCCAAUAGCAAGCUACGGCUAACUACGUGCCAGCAGCCGCGGUAAUACGUAGGUGGCAAGCGUUAUCCGGAUUGACUGGGCGCAAAGGGUGCGUAGGUGGUUUAGUAAGUUGGCGGUGUAAUUCCGGGGCUCAACCUCGGCGGUACAGCCAAAACUAGUAGACUUGAGUGCAGAAGGGGAAAGUGGAAUUCCUAGUGUAGCGGUGGAAUGCGUAGAUAUUAGGAGGAACAUCAGGGGCGAAGGCGACUUACUGGACUGUAACUGACGCUGAGGCACGAAAGCGUGGGGAGCAAACAGGAUUAGAUACCCCUGUAGUC
This 443-nucleotide ribosomal RNA is filed under the name uncultured bacterium. RNAcentral describes it as "partial 16S ribosomal RNA". It matches the Rfam family "Bacterial small subunit ribosomal RNA", at positions 338 to 795 of the family's 1533-position model. The record is from RNAcentral.